UACGGAGGGGGCUAGCGUUGUUCGGAUUUACUGGGCGUAAAGCGCGUGUAGGCGGAUCGUUAAGUCGGGGGUGAAAGCCCAGAGCUCAACUCUGGAAUUGCCUUCGAUACUGGCGGUCUGGAGCAGAGAAGCGGCGAGUGGAAUUCCGAGUGUAGAGGUGAAAUUCGUAGAUAGUCGGAGGAACACCAGUGGCGAAGGCGGCUCGCUGGUCUCUUGCUGACGCUGAGACGCGAAAGCGUGGGGAGCAAACAGG
Molecule: ribosomal RNA, 253 nt
Filed under: uncultured bacterium
Lineage: Bacteria
Description: partial 16S ribosomal RNA
Rfam family: Bacterial small subunit ribosomal RNA
Source: RNAcentral